Molecule: long non-coding RNA, 671 nt
Filed under: Ananas comosus (pineapple)
Lineage: Eukaryota; Viridiplantae; Streptophyta; Magnoliopsida; Poales; Bromeliaceae
Description: long non-coding RNA (ACOM_LNC024133)
Source: RNAcentral
ACUAUAUUUUACAUUUGGGGCAUAUUUGUUUCACGGUAAGUGGGAGGGGCAGAAGUGAUUUUCGGCGAAAACUGAUCACUUUUUGCUAUUUGGUUCACCGUAAUAUUAUUACGAUCCGAAGUCCAGUUCAUCCAAAAUACCGAAAUUGACUUUGCUAUGGUGAUGUAGAAGUAAUUAAUUUUUUAUUGAGAUUAUAUGUCUAAAAUAUAAUGAAAUUUGGUUAUUUAAGUUUCAGUAUGUCUUUUAUUUAAUUUGUUAAAUGUUAAUAAUUCUUUAAAUUUAGAAUUUUAUUUGUUGCAUUAUAUAAUUUAUAUGCAAAAAAUUUAAUAUAAUUAUUUUAAAUUUUAUUUAUAAUUAUAUAUACAUAUAAUUAUAUUAUUUUUUAUUUAUUAUAAUUUAUUAUCUAUUAGGUUGCAAAAUAGACAAUAAUAUCACUUAGGAUGUAAGUUUAUUGGGGGUAUGAAGAUUAAAUAAUUUUCGGUGAAACAAAUAAAGAAAGUGAAGAACUACACACUUUAUAUUCUCUACUUCCUGCCAAACAAACAGCAGAACUUCACUUCCACAGUUAGAAACAAACAGCGGAUGUGAAGUAAUUUUCACUUGAAUUCUAUUUCAAUCCAAAAUCCAUUUUAACCCAAAAUCUACUUAGAGUGAAACAAACAAGACCUUGG